Molecule: transfer RNA, 82 nt
Organism: Gasterosteus aculeatus (three-spined stickleback)
Lineage: Eukaryota; Metazoa; Chordata; Actinopteri; Perciformes; Gasterosteidae
Rfam family: tRNA
About the family: Transfer RNA (tRNA) molecules are approximately 80 nucleotides in length. Their secondary structure includes four short double-helical elements and three loops (D, anti-codon, and T loops). Further hydrogen bonds mediate the characteristic L-shaped molecular structure. tRNAs have two regions of fundamental functional importance: the anti-codon, which is responsible for specific mRNA codon recognition, and the 3' end, to which the tRNAs corresponding amino acid is attached (by aminoacyl-tRNA synthetases). tRNAs cope with the degeneracy of the genetic code in two manners: having more than one tRNA (with a specific anti-codon) for a particular amino acid; and 'wobble' base-pairing, i.e. permitting non-standard base-pairing at the 3rd anti-codon position.
Source: Rfam
GUUGUUGUGGCCGAGAGGUUAAGGCGAUGGACUUGAAAUCCAUUGGGGUCUCCCCGCGCAGGUUCGAGUCCUGCCAGCAACG